Podarcis lilfordi (Lilford's wall lizard) is the source of this 68-nucleotide non-coding RNA. Lineage: Eukaryota; Metazoa; Chordata; Lepidosauria; Squamata; Lacertidae. The record is from the annotation of a GenBank genome assembly.
UUUUGGCUAGCUCAAUUGGUAGAGCUCUGGAUCUCAAGGUUGUGGGUUCAAGCCCCACGUUGGGCAAA